GAUGAACGCUGGCGGCGUGCUUAAUACAUGCAAGUCGAACGGAGACAAUAGCAAUAUUGUCUUAGUGGCGAACGGGUGAGUAACGCGUUGGUGACCUGCCCCGAAGAGGGGGAUAACAGUCCGAAAGGAUUGCUAAUACCCCAUGUGGUCAUAUGGAUUAGAUGCCUAAUGACUAAACGGAUUUAUUCGCUUCGGGAGGGGCCUGCGUCCCAUCAGCUAGUUGGUAAGGUAAUGGCUUACCAAGGCGAUGACGGGUAGGGGACCUGAGAGGGUGGCCCCCCACAAUGGAACUGAAACACGGUCCAUACACCUACGGGUGGCAGCAGUAGGGAAUAUUGGUAAUCUGGGAAACCGGGAACCAGCAACGCCGCGUGCACGAUGAAGGCCUUCGGGUCGUAAAGUGCUUUUUGAAGGGAUGAGGAAGGACAGUACCUUCAGAAUAAGCCUCGGCUAACUACGUGCCAGCAGCCGCGGAAACUGUAGUCGU
Molecule: ribosomal RNA, 487 nt
Filed under: uncultured bacterium
Lineage: Bacteria
Description: bacterial SSU rRNA
Rfam family: Bacterial small subunit ribosomal RNA
Source: RNAcentral